CUCUACGGGGGAUGUUGAACAGCUCGCGCUCCCACAAAGCUUUGCAGGAGACCAUACAAUGAAAUUUGGUGCGUUUUUUUACUUUUCGGCGCCAUUUUCGAUUGGACCCGAGGUAAUGCAGAUCAUCGGGAUUUUUCUCUUUCAAAGCCAGCAUGAGAGCAGCAGAUCUGAAGGGAAUGUACUAUAGCAGCACAUAAAUACUGGAGGUGAUUGUGGUGUUAUCCAGUAUUGCUGUUCUGCUGUAGUAAGACCUGUCAGCACUUACAGACUCCAAAGAGCCACAGCAGAUCCCUGUCCAAGAGCAAACCCAUGCAUGUGCGAUGGAGGAAGAAAAAAAACAGUACCUGUCUGUGCUGUAGAUGAACACUGCUUUUUUCAAUCAUUGUGCACCUAUUUCUUCAUGUUACAACUGAAAAGAGCAUAUGCAUGUCUUUUUUCAACACGUGCUGCUUUCUAAUAAACUUGUGAUUGUAAAUAUGAA
This is a long non-coding RNA of Danio aesculapii, 481 nucleotides long. RefSeq lists it as uncharacterized. NCBI's taxonomy places the organism in Eukaryota, Metazoa, Chordata, Actinopteri, Cypriniformes, Danionidae. The record is from RefSeq and is a predicted model, not a curated record. The transcript has 2 exons.